GGGAUGUGAUGAGUGGUUCAGUACUCGCAUUAAAACAUGCGAGAUUUGGGUGUUCCGCCCCAAGCCUGGUUACGACAAAUUGGGCACUCACAUCUUAUCCAAUCUGAUCCC
Molecule: small nucleolar RNA, 111 nt
Organism: Camellia sinensis
Lineage: Eukaryota; Viridiplantae; Streptophyta; Magnoliopsida; Ericales; Theaceae
Product: small nucleolar RNA Z279/snoR105/snoR108
Source: RefSeq, a predicted model, not a curated record